Molecule: ribosomal RNA, 868 nt
Filed under: Colletotrichum gloeosporioides
Lineage: Eukaryota; Fungi; Ascomycota; Sordariomycetes; Glomerellales; Glomerellaceae
Description: eukaryotic LSU rRNA
Rfam family: Eukaryotic large subunit ribosomal RNA
Source: RNAcentral
UAUCAAUAAGCGGAGGAAAAGAAACCAACAGGGAUUGCCUCAGUAACGGCGAGUGAAGCGGCAACAGCUCAAAUUUGAAAUCUGGCCCUAGGCCCGAGUUGUAAUUUGCAGAGGAUGCUUUUGGUGCGGUGCCUUCCAAGUUCCCUAGAACGGGACGCCAGAGAGGGUGAGAGCCCCGUACAGUUGGACACCAAGCCUUUGUAAAGCUCCUUCGACGAGUCGAGUAGUUUGGGAAUGCUGCUCAAAAUGGGAGGUAUAUUUCUUCUAAAGCUAAAUACCGGCCAGAGACCGAUAGCGCACAAGUAGAGUGAUCGAAAGAUGAAAAGCACUUUGAAAAGAGGGUUAAACAGCACGUGAAAUUGUUAAAAGGGAAGCGCUUGUGACCAGACUUGCGUCCGGUGAAUCACCCAGCUCUCGCGGCUGGGGCACUUCGCCGGCUCAGGCCAGCAUCAGCUCGCUGUCGGGGACAAAAGCUUCAGGAACGUAGCUCUCUUCGGGGAGUGUUAUAGCCUGUUGCACAAUACCCUUCGGCGGGCUGAGGUACGCGCUCCGCAAGGAUGCUGGCAUAAUGGUCAUCAGCGACCCGUCUUGAAACACGGACCAAGGAGUCAACCUUAUGUGCGAGUGUUCGGGUGUCAAACCCCUACGCGUAAUGAAAGUGAACGCAGGUGAGAGCUUCGGCGCAUCAUCGACCGAUCCUGAUGUUCUCGGAUGGAUUUGAGUAAGAGCAUAUAGGGUUGGACCCGAAAGAAGGUGAACUAUGCGUGUAUAGGGUGAAGCCAGAGGAAACUCUGGUGGAGGCUCGCAGCGGUUCUGACGUGCAAAUCGAUCGUCAAAUAUGCGCAUGGGGGCGAAAGACUAAUCGAAC